This 932-nucleotide long non-coding RNA is filed under the name Vulpes vulpes (red fox). RNAcentral describes it as "lncRNA (ENSVVUG00000017716.1)". Lineage: Eukaryota; Metazoa; Chordata; Mammalia; Carnivora; Canidae. The record is from RNAcentral.
ACUGAAUGUUCUAAUGUGUCUUCCUUCUCUUCUCAACUGGGAUGUAGGAGAGGAAGGUGUACAUUAGUCUGAAUGCUCCCACAGACACCCCACCUGAGAACCAAUCAAAAUCCGAGAGGAAGGAGAAUGAGCUCUCUCUUGACUUUUUCUGCCUUUCUCAAUGUGUGACAUGUGCAGGUGAAUGAUGGAGAGGAGGUGAAGCAUCCUGGCCAAGUUGGUGGGUCAGCAUUACUGUUUCUCCUAUCCACGAUGUUUUCCUUGUUAAAAAACAAAAGGACUACAACCCCGAUUUUGGAGUCCUCCACCCACCGUGCAACAUGCUAAGAGGAAAGCUGGGCUCCUCCUGGCUGUGUGACUAAGGAUAACUCAACCUCUCUGAGCCUCCAUUUCCUCAUCUAUAAAUGGAAGUAAUGAACACUUUGUCCUGACUAUACCUCUAAGAUCAAAUAUACAAUGGGGAUUUGUAGACUACAAAGUGUCAUCGAAUGCCAGUUAACAAGACAUAGUCCAAGCAGGUCAGCCCACAGCCUGGCAGGAACCGGAGUCAGCCCAUCACCCACAGACUGACCACUUAACAGGCAUUUGCCCUGCCUUCCAUUAAAUGUUCAGCACCAUUUGAUGAGCACAUCUUAAAACAUGCAUAAAAGUAGAGGGGACAGCUUGCAAAAAAGCAGCUCACCAUCAUCACCCAAGGUAUGCGAAUGCCCCUGGAAUGUCUGUGGUGCAGCCUCUCCAUCUCAGGCUGGAUAGCCGAGGGCAGGUCUGAGGGGCAGGGUGGUACGUUCAGAGAGUGAGCUGGAGGAGAAGGUGGACACCUUAGGCAGAGUUGAGCUCAGUCCUGGAGAUGACCACUUCUGCAAGCCUGGUGUGGGCCUUGGGGAGGCUCUCUCUGGAACCUGGCUUUUGAGACAAGGAGACAGGGCCAGGAACAG